This 227-nucleotide ribosomal RNA is filed under the name uncultured Actinomycetales bacterium. Its description in RNAcentral is "partial 16S ribosomal RNA". It matches the Rfam family "Bacterial small subunit ribosomal RNA", at positions 106 to 334 of the family's 1533-position model. The record is from RNAcentral. Lineage: Bacteria; Bacillati; Actinomycetota; Actinomycetes; Actinomycetales.
GUGAGUAACACGUGAGUAACCUGCCCUUGACUUUGGGAUGACUUCAGGAAACUGGGGCUAAUACCGGAUAGGAGCUCCUGCUGCAUGGUGGGGGUUGGAAAGUUUCGGCGGUUGGGGAUGGACUCGCGGCUUAUCAGCUUGUUGGUGGGGUAGUGGCUUACCAAGGCUUUGACGGGUAGCCGGCCUGAGAGGGUGACCGGCCACAUUGGGACUGAGAUACGGCCCAG